RNAcentral lists this unclassified non-coding RNA (443 nucleotides) under Hevea brasiliensis (rubber tree). Lineage: Eukaryota; Viridiplantae; Streptophyta; Magnoliopsida; Malpighiales; Euphorbiaceae. The record is from RNAcentral.
AGGGUUUAUCAAUUGCAGAUCAAAGCCCAAAAAGCUCAGAUUUUCUAGGGUUUUCUCUCUCAUUUUUCGGAUCUCUCCAUUCUUCAUCUUGCUAAUGUAAGUUUGUUUCCUCUUCUGUUUCUGUUACCCUUCAGUUCAAAAUCAGAAAGUGUAUGAAAUUUCCUGUUUUUCAAUUGUGACGUCUAGAUAUGUAGUGUUACAUGCAUAGACUCGUUUAUAUGUCUCUUCUCGAGUUCUUUCUGUAGCGUCGUUUCGUUUUUAUAUGUGCAAUUUGGAUUGGGGUUCUAUCGAUUGGCUAUGAAAAUGCCUUCGUUUUGAGGUGUUUUAAGUUGAGAGCUUUGAUUUAUUGCUGAGUUAAAUUAGGAUUAGUGCUUGGGUUAGGGUUAGGGCUUUUCUUGGUAGAUAUGAUCAAACAGAUAUUGGGCAAGCUACCUCGAAAACCG